RNAcentral lists this ribosomal RNA (222 nucleotides) under Stenotrophomonas sp. VAC55. RNAcentral's name for it is "partial 16S ribosomal RNA". It matches the Rfam family "Bacterial small subunit ribosomal RNA", at positions 980 to 1205 of the family's 1533-position model. Lineage: Bacteria; Pseudomonadati; Pseudomonadota; Gammaproteobacteria; Lysobacterales; Lysobacteraceae. The record is from RNAcentral.
CUUGACUGUCGAGACUUUCCAGAGAUGGAUUCGGUGCCUUCGGGAACUCGAACACAGGUGCUGCAUGGCUGUCGUCAGCUCGUGUCGUGAGAUGUUGGGUUAAGUCCCGCAACGAGCGCAACCCUUGUCCUUAGUUGCCAGCACGUAAUGGUGGGAACUCUAAGGAGAGCGCCGGGACCCCCCGGAGGAAGGGGGGAUGACGCCAAGCAAACUGGCCUUUAC